This 66-nucleotide transfer RNA is filed under the name Micronemacheilus pulcherrimus. Its description in RNAcentral is "tRNA-Cys". It matches the Rfam family "tRNA". From Rfam's summary of the family: Transfer RNA (tRNA) molecules are approximately 80 nucleotides in length. Their secondary structure includes four short double-helical elements and three loops (D, anti-codon, and T loops). Lineage: Eukaryota; Metazoa; Chordata; Actinopteri; Cypriniformes; Nemacheilidae. The record is from RNAcentral.
AGCCUCGUGGUGGAGUACACAUAAGAUUGCAAAUCUUAAGACGCAGACUAACGUCUGCCGGGGCUU